Molecule: ribosomal RNA, 253 nt
Filed under: uncultured bacterium
Lineage: Bacteria
Description: partial 16S ribosomal RNA
Rfam family: Bacterial small subunit ribosomal RNA
Source: RNAcentral
UACGGGGGGGACUAGCGUUGUUCGGAUUUACUGGGCGUAAAGGGCGCGUAGGCGGACUUUCAAGUCGGGUGUGAAAACCUUGAGCUCAACUCAGGGCUUGCAUUCGAUACUGUUGGUCUUGAGUACAGGAGAGGAAAGUGGAAUUCCAGGUGUAGCGGUGAAAUGCGUAGAUAUCUGGAAGAACACCAGUAGCGAAGGCGGCUUUCUGGACUGAUACUGACGCUAAAGCGCGAAGGCUUGGGGAGCAAACAGG